GAUGAUCUAAUCAGGGUUGACAGUUUAACCCUGAGUCAUCCUAAACAUAGAGGUCAAAAGGAUGAAUUAUACAGUAACCAUAUUCACGUAGGUUUUGAGUGUUGUGAUUGCGACCAUUCGACCUAUCCAGUCGUCGGGUACCAUUGCUAGAUGGUCACUUUGAUUAGUACAAGAAUUGGUUCCUGUGCUACCGGCUUAGGUUCGAACCUGCGGGGUCACACACAUUAGAGGUUCCUAUC
RNAcentral lists this long non-coding RNA (239 nucleotides) under Elaeis guineensis (African oil palm). RNAcentral describes it as "long non-coding RNA (EGUI_LNC064799)". The record is from RNAcentral. Lineage: Eukaryota; Viridiplantae; Streptophyta; Magnoliopsida; Arecales; Arecaceae.